UAGGGAAUCUUCGGCAAUGGACGAAAGUCUGACCGAGCAACGCCGCGUGAGUGAAGAAGGUUUUCGGAUCGUAAAACUCUGUUGGUAGAGAAGAACGUUGGUGAGAGUGGAAAGCUCAUCAAGUGACGGUAACUACCCAGAAAGGGACGGCUAACUACGUGCCAGCAGCCGCGGUAAUACGUAGGUCCCGAGCGUUGUCCGGAUUUAUUGGGCGUAAAGCGAGCGCAGGUGGUUUAUUAAGUCUGGUGUAAAAGGCAGUGGCUCAACCAUUGUAUGCAUUGGAAACUGGUAGACUUGAGUGCAGGAGAGGAGAGUGGAAUUCCAUGUGUAGCGGUGAAAUGCGUAGAUAUAUGGAGGAACACCGGUGGCGAAAGCGGCUCUCUGGCCUGUAACUGACACUGAGGCUCGAAAGCGUGGGGAGCAAACAGGAUUAGAUACCCUGGUAGUCCACGCCGUAAACGAUGAGUGCUAGAUGUAGGGAGCUAUAAGUUCUCUGUAUCGCAGCUAACGCAAUAAGCACUCCGCCUGGGGGGUACGACCGCAAGGUUGAAAC
RNAcentral lists this ribosomal RNA (553 nucleotides) under uncultured bacterium. RNAcentral's name for it is "partial 16S ribosomal RNA". It matches the Rfam family "Bacterial small subunit ribosomal RNA", at positions 355 to 900 of the family's 1533-position model. The record is from RNAcentral.